UACGGAGAAUUAGGGUUCGAUUCCGGAGAGGGAGCCUGAGAAACGGCUACCACAUCUACGGAAGGCAGCAGGAGCGAAAAUUGCCCAAUCCCGACACGGGGAGGCAGUGACGAGAAAUAACAACUCUUGGUUAUUCUAAGAAGUGUAAUGAGGAUAAUUUAAAACCCUUACCGAAAGCAAUUGGAGGGCAAGUCUGGUGCCAGCAGCCGCGGUAAUUCCAGCUCCAAUAGCGUAUAUUAAAGUUGUUGCAGUUAAAAAGCUCGUAGUUGAAGUUCUGGCUGUUCGAUCCUCGAGCUCUGUAGCCGAGGACUCGACAGUCAUCCGCUUGCAAAUAUAUGUUCGCCUUUAACCGGGUGGCUAUAUGAGUAAGCAAUUUACCUUGAGAAAAACAGAGUGUUCCAGGCAGGUUUGUCCGGAAUGCAUUAGCAUGGAAUAAUAGAAUAUGACUGAAGUCGAUUUAUUGGUUUGAGGCUUUAGUAAUGAUUAAUAGGAACAGUCGGGGGCAUUGGUACUUGACAGUCAGAGGUGAAAUUCUAGGAUUUGUCAAAGACUAACAAAUGCGAAAGCAUUUGCCAAGGAUGUUUUCAUUAAUCAAGAACGAAAGUUAGGGGAUCAAAGACGAUCAGAUACCGUCCUAGUCUUAACUAUAAACUAUACCGACUCGGAUUCAGAUGAAUCAUAAAGUUCAUUUGGGACCGUAGGAGAAAUCAAAGUUUUUGGGUUCUGGGGGAAGUAUGGUCGCAAGGCUGAAACUUAAAGGAAUUGACGGUUUUGCACCACCAUGGAGUGGAGUCUGCGGCUUAAUUUGACUCAACACUGGGAAACUCAUCAGGGCAAGAAGAUUGUAGGAUUGACAGAUUGAGAGUUCUUUCUUGAUUGGUCUAGUGGUGGUGCAUGGCCGUUCUUAGUUGGUGGAGUGAUUUGUCUGGUUAAUUCCGUUAACGAACGAGACCUUAACCUGCUAACUAGUACACAGAUGACAAAUCUGUGAUACUUCUUAGAGGGACUAUGUGAUGUAAUCACAUGGAAGUUUGAGGCAAUAACAGGUCUGUGAUGCCCUUAGAUGUCCUGAGCUGCACGCGUACUACAAUGGUGCUUUCAACGAGCUUUUCCUGAUCCGAAAGGAUUUGGGUAAUCUUUUUAGUGAGCACCGUGCUUGGGAUAGAUCUUUGUAAUUAUGGAUCUUGAACUAGGAAUUCCUAGUAAGCGCGCGUCAUCAGCGCGUGCUGAUUACGUCCCUGCAAAAUGUACACACCGCCCGUCGCUAUUACCGAUUGAGUGUAAAGGUGAACCUUCUCGAUAGACGCAAGUUUAGAAAUUAAGUAAACCUUUGCACUUAGAGGAAAUAAAA
RNAcentral lists this ribosomal RNA (1351 nucleotides) under uncultured eukaryote. RNAcentral's name for it is "SSU rRNA". It matches the Rfam family "Eukaryotic small subunit ribosomal RNA", at positions 360 to 1787 of the family's 1831-position model. The record is from RNAcentral.